AUGAACGCUAGCGGCAGGCUUAAUACAUGCAAGUCGAACGGUAAGGUUUCUUCGGAGACACACGAGUGGCGCACGGGUGCGUAACGCGUAUGCAACCUACCUAUAACUGGGGAAUAGCCCCGAGAAAUCGGGAUUAAUACUCCAUAACAUCCUUUGGAUACCUGUCCAGAGGAUUAAAGCUCCGGCGGUUAUAGAUGGGCAUGCGUGGCAUUAGCUAGUUGGUGAGGUAACGGCUCACCAAGGCAACGAUGCCUAGGGGUCCUGAGAGGGUUAACCCCCACACUGGUACUGAGACACGGACCAGACUCCUACGGGAGGCAGCAGUAAGGAAUAUUGGGCAAUGGACGCAAGUCUGACCCAGCCAUGCCGCGUGAAGGAUGACUGCCCUAUGGGUUGUAAACUUCUUUUGUACGGGAAAAAACUCUCGGUCGAGCACCGGGACUGAUGGUACCGUGCGAAUAAGCAUCGGCUAACUCCGU
This 479-nucleotide ribosomal RNA is filed under the name uncultured bacterium. Its description in RNAcentral is "bacterial SSU rRNA". It matches the Rfam family "Bacterial small subunit ribosomal RNA", at positions 29 to 506 of the family's 1533-position model. The record is from RNAcentral.